RNAcentral lists this ribosomal RNA (467 nucleotides) under uncultured bacterium. RNAcentral's name for it is "partial 16S ribosomal RNA". It matches the Rfam family "Bacterial small subunit ribosomal RNA", at positions 28 to 507 of the family's 1533-position model. The record is from RNAcentral.
GAUGAACGCUGGCGGCGUGCUUAACACAUGCAAGUCGAACGGAAAGGCCCAAGCUUGCUUGGGUACUCGAGUGGCGAACGGGUGAGUAACACGUGGGUGAUCUGCCCUGCACUUCGGGAUAAGCCUGGGAAACUGGGUCUAAUACCGGAUAGGACCACUUCUUGGAUGUUGUGGUGGAAAGUUUUUUCGGUGUGGGAUGAGCUCGCGGCCUAUCAGCUUGUUGGUGGGGUAAUGGCCUACCAAGGCGUCGACGGGUAGCCGGCCUGAGAGGGUGUACGGCCACAUUGGGACUGAGAUACGGCCCAGACUCCGACGGGAGGCAGCAGUGGGGAAUAUUGCACAAGGGGCGCAAGCCUGAUGCAGCGACGCCGCGUGGGGGAUGACGGCCUUCGGGUUGUAAACUCCUUUCGCUAGGGACGAAGCGUUUUGUGACGGUACCUGGAGAAGAAGCACCGGCUAACUACGUG